UACGAGGGGUGCAAACGUUAUUCGGAAUUACUGGGUGUAAAGGGUACGUAGACGGCAUAUUAAGUCAAUUGUUAAAUUCCCCAGCUCAACUGGGGGUAGGCGGUUGAAACUAAUAAGCUAGAGGAUGAGAGAGAGAAGUGGAAUUCUCGGAGUAGCGGUAAAAUGCGUAGAUCUCGAGAGGAACACCGAUGGCGAAGGCAGCUUCUUGGCUCAUUUCUGACGUUGAGGUACGAAAGCGUGGGGAGCAAACAGG
RNAcentral lists this ribosomal RNA (253 nucleotides) under uncultured bacterium. RNAcentral's name for it is "partial 16S ribosomal RNA". It matches the Rfam family "Bacterial small subunit ribosomal RNA", at positions 524 to 776 of the family's 1533-position model. The record is from RNAcentral.